AGAGUUUGAUCCUGGCUCAGAGCGAACGCUGGCGGCAGGCCUAACACAUGCAAGUCGAACGAACUCUUCGGAGUUAGUGGCGACGGGUGAGUAACACGUGGGAACGUGCCUUUGGUUCGGAAUAACUCAGGGAAACUUGUGCUAAUACCGAAUGUGCCCUUCGGGGGAAAGAUUUAUCGCCAUUAGAGCGGCCCGCGUCUGAUUAGCUAGUUGGUGAGGUAAAGGCUCACCAAGGCGACGAUCAGUAGCUGGUCUGAGAGGAUGAUCAGCCACAUUGGGACUGAGACACGGCCCAAACUCCUACGGGAGGCAGCAGUGGGGAAUCUUGCGCAAUGGGCGAAAGCCUGACGCAGCCAUGCCGCGCGAAUGAUGAAGGUCUUAGGAUUGUAAAAUUCUUUCACCGGGGACGAUAAUGACGGUACCCGGAGAAGAAGCCCCGGCUAACUUCGUG
Molecule: ribosomal RNA, 451 nt
Filed under: uncultured Brevundimonas sp.
Lineage: Bacteria; Pseudomonadati; Pseudomonadota; Alphaproteobacteria; Caulobacterales; Caulobacteraceae
Description: bacterial SSU rRNA
Rfam family: Bacterial small subunit ribosomal RNA
Source: RNAcentral